Molecule: ribosomal RNA, 253 nt
Filed under: uncultured bacterium
Lineage: Bacteria
Description: partial 16S ribosomal RNA
Rfam family: Bacterial small subunit ribosomal RNA
Source: RNAcentral
UACAGAGGUCCCAAGCGUUGUUCGGAUUCACUGGGCGUAAAGGGUGCGUAGGCGGUCGGGUAAGUCUGGUGUGAAAUCCCGCAGCUCAACUGCGGAAUGGCACUGGAUACUAUUCGGCUGGAGGGUUGGAGGGGGGACUGGAAUUCUCGGUGUAGCAGUGAAAUGCGUAGAUAUCGAGAGGAACACCAGUGGCGAAGGCGAGUCCCUGGACAACUCCUGACGCUGAGGCACGAAAGCUAGGGGAGCAAACAGG